This 595-nucleotide ribosomal RNA is filed under the name Filobasidium chernovii. Its description in RNAcentral is "partial large subunit ribosomal RNA". It matches the Rfam family "Eukaryotic large subunit ribosomal RNA", at positions 82 to 664 of the family's 3401-position model. Lineage: Eukaryota; Fungi; Basidiomycota; Tremellomycetes; Filobasidiales; Filobasidiaceae. The record is from RNAcentral.
AGUACGGCGAGUGAAGCGGGAAGAGCUCAAAUUUGAAAUCUGGUGGCCUCAGGUCAUCCGAGUUGUAAUCUAUAGAAGUGUUUUCCGUGCUGGCUCAUGUACAAGUCCCUUGGAACAGGGCGUCAUAGAGGGUGAGAAUCCCGUCCUUGACAUGAACUACCAGUGCUCUGUGAUACAUUUUCAACGAGUCGAGUUGUUUGGGAAUGCAGCUCAAAAUGGGUGGUAAAUUCCAUCUAAAGCUAAAUAUUGGCGAGAGACCGAUAGCGAACAAGUACCGUGAGGGAAAGAUGAAAAGCACUUUGGAAAGAGAGUUAAACAGUAUGUGAAAUUGUUAAAAGGGAAACGAUUGAAGUCAGUCGUGCUCUUUGGAUUCAGCCGGUUCUGCCGGUGUACUUCCUUUGAGUGGGGUCAACAUCAGUUUUGAUCGCUGGAUAAAGGCUGGAGGAACGUAGCACCCUCGGGUGAACUUAUAGCCUCCUGUCACAUACAGUGGUUGGGACUGAGGAACGCAGCACGCCUUUAUGGCCGGGAUUCGUCCACGUACGUGCUUAGGAUGUUGACAUAAUGGCUUUAAACGACCCGUCUUGAAACACGG